RNAcentral lists this ribosomal RNA (161 nucleotides) under uncultured bacterium. RNAcentral describes it as "partial 16S ribosomal RNA". It matches the Rfam family "Bacterial small subunit ribosomal RNA", at positions 355 to 507 of the family's 1533-position model. The record is from RNAcentral.
UGGGGAAUUUUGGACAAUGGGGGCAAACCCUGAUCCAGCCAUGCCGCGUGAGUGAAGAAGGCCUUCGGGUUGUAAAGCUCUUUCAGCCGGAACGAAAUGGUCACGGUUAAUACCCGUGACAAAUGACGGUACCGGAAUAAGAAGCACCGGCUAACUACGUG